Acanthochromis polyacanthus (spiny chromis) is the source of this 2255-nucleotide long non-coding RNA. RefSeq lists it as uncharacterized. The record is from RefSeq and is a predicted model, not a curated record. NCBI's taxonomy places the organism in Eukaryota, Metazoa, Chordata, Actinopteri, Pomacentridae. The transcript is spliced from 3 exons.
GCUGUUAGAAAACAUCAGAAAACGUAAGGAAAUGUCAGAAAACAUCCCCAAAAGACAGAGAACGUGUCCUCAUUUACCUCCGGCGCGACUGUUGCGUUUGAGUUUUGAAACCUUGUCAGUGAAGCGUCUGAAAGAGACUCAUGACUCAUUAGCACUGUGAGUCACCUCCAGGUGCUUCACAGCAAACUAGAGCAAAAAUAACCUUUCGCCCCAUAAAACUACAGGAAAGGCAGUUCGGUACUGACAUUUGUGCCAUGAGGAACUGCAGCGUCGUGAACUCAUUUGCUCCACAGUGACACACAGUUUCAUCCUCGUAGGUUUUGUGGAUCAAUGGUGAGGCUGCUUCUUGAACCUCCCACAGAAUGACUGCAGUGCGGGACUACAUGAGUAGCACAGAUGGAGCUUUUAAUCUGUGGGUUUAAAGAAGAGUCACCACAACGGACCAAUCCAUCCCGACCAUCCAGGCCUCGGUGAGCGCAGCGAGGGAGGGCGGGCUGCGGUGGAUGAGCAUUCCUGUUGUCUCUGAGGUGACGGCGACACAGAGGAGCCAUUGAUAGCGCCACUGGACCCCACAGUGUGCUCAUGCUGGAAUGCGUGAUAUUGUGACAGCUCAGUCAGACAGAAACAGAGCAGUACAGAAUUCUUUAAGUGCGCUGAACUUCAGUUUUGAGCUCGUCAUUCUUCUUCAGACAACAGGGGAGUCAGCAGGCGUCUGUUUUGGCGCCUUAUUGAGCUACACCAGUGACUUAGACACUCAAAGCAGCUAAUUAUCGUGGCCAGGAAGGUGUAGCUAAAUGAUUUGUCUUGAGCAACUGCAGUGAUCCAGCAGCUUCAGCUAAGUCAACAGGAACUGGGUGUGACUGAAAACUAUCACUGCUGAAGCUGCUUUUCAUAUCUGUGUCACUCUUAGAAGUCGCUACAACUGUUGGAGCGCUCUGGGAAAGUUUUGAAGGCUUUCCCACAUGCAAAAGAGCGCAUAAAUAAGGUCUAAAUAUUCAGCAAUGUGCAGCUUAAAUAGCACCAGUGUCUGCUGGUUUUAUUUCUGUGUUUGCUCCACUCUGCUCCCGCCCAGAACACAACUGGCCCGGCUCUGCACCGGCCAGCUGAACCCCCCCAUGGCUCCGUCUAUGACUCAAGCCCGGCGGUUGCACAGAAUCGCCCCUUUGUGUCGGUGAAGAAUGUAUCUUUUCUGAGUUUUUUGGAAAACAGAGGCAGAGAAAGAGAGUGAUGGGGGCAUGAGUAAUUGAGACGGAUUUAAAUCUGAUGACAUGUGAUUUAUGCUUCCUUCAGAGGCAGGAUAUUGUGGCAGCGGCGUUCACUAUUGAUCAAACUGCUGCUGUUAGCCUUGAUCAUUCAGAAGAAUGCUGUGAAAAAUUAACACCAGACACCAGUGGCACAUAUGUUUUAACCAAACUCCACUUGUAAAGAAGAAGAUAUAUUUCCAAGCAGUGUGUUUUGCCUUGAUCAAGAGAAACACUUGUGGUUUCAGUGACUCCAUGCAGUUAAUACUGUACGUCCUCUUAUCCGGUAAGACCAGCGUGGCCUAAUGAGAUCUUGUAAAUAUCCCACAGUAAUACCAUGCAAUUUCCUGUUUUGCAUGGAAAAACAUUAAUAACAUGAGAGAUUCAGAGUAAAGGAAGGAAUUCUUAUUGAAGCAAACAAGAAUCUUGGAAAAACAAUGAGUUGGACAACAUUUUUAACAAUUUAAUAACUGUCGGGGCUGUUUAUUUAUCUCUGAAAUGCUUUAUAUCGUCUUAUAAUGUAUAAAAACAGUGUUUUUGUAGCCACACAGGACACUGCAGAAACUGUCAGCGUGACCUUACAGUUACAGUGUGCAGCAGAUGCAAAAGCAGUGUCACUUCAAUGUCAAAUGAUUCAAACUGAAUCACCUCUCAAUAAUUCCACUGGUCAUAAACUGAACAGUAGGCGUCUUAUUAUGACAAACUAUCAAAACUAAUGUGUGAGAAAGACUGUGAUCAGUGGAACAAAAAUGAGCACACCAGUGAGCCCUAAAUUCAUGAAUAUGUUGAUAAAAUGAGCUGUGAAUUUUCUCUGUUAUUGGAUUUAUGGGAUCUGUCUGUCUGCUUCAUGGCUCCACAUGGGAAAAGAACGGCAAGAGGAAUUCAGCUCUGAGACUUCGGGAAGGAGGAGAAGAAUACAAGAAGAUCGAUGACCAACUAGAAAUCAACUCAAACACACUUAGAGCAGUGAUCAGGAGGUAUAGGAUGAGCUGUAGUCACCAUAAAAAAAAAGAA